GUGAACGCUGGCGGUAGGCCUAACACAUGCAAGUCGAACGGCAGCACAGUAAGAGCUUGCUCUUACGGGUGGCGAGUGGCGGACGGGUGAGGAAUACAUCGGAAUCUACUUUUUCGUGGGGGAUAACGUAGGGAAACUUACGCUAAUACCGCAUACGACCUACGGGUGAAAGCAGGGGAUCUUCGGACCUUGCGCGAUUGAAUGAGCCGAUGUCGGAUUAGCUAGUUGGCGGGGUAAAGACCCACCAAGGCGACGAUCCGUAGCUGGUCUGAGAGGAUGAUCAGCCACACUGGAACUGAGACACGGUCCAGACUCCUACGGGAGGCAGCAGUGGGGAAUAUUGGACAAUGGGCGCAAGCCUGAUCCAGCCAUACCGCGUGGGUGAAGAAGGCCUUCGGGUUGUAAAGCCCUUUUGUUGGGAAAGAAAAGCAGCAGGUUAAUACCCCGCUGUUCUGACGGUACCCAAAGAAUAAGCACCGGCUAACUUCGUG
Molecule: ribosomal RNA, 491 nt
Filed under: uncultured bacterium
Lineage: Bacteria
Description: partial 16S ribosomal RNA
Rfam family: Bacterial small subunit ribosomal RNA
Source: RNAcentral